UAGAGCCCUAUAAAGCAGCCCCAUAGAGCCCUAUAGGGCAGCCCCAUACCCUGCCCCAUAGCUCAGCCCUAUAGCCCCAUACCCUGCCCCAUAGAGCCCCAUAGCCCUGCCCCAUAGCCCCCCUAUAGGGCAGCCCCAUAGCCCCCAUAGAGCCCUAUAGAGCAGCCCCAUAGAGCCCUAUAGGGCAGCCCCAUACCCAGCCCCACAUCGCUGUGCCCCGUGGCCACGCCCCCUAUUCAUAAGCCCCGCCCCCUCCUUAUUUAUAACCCCACCCCUUAUUCAUAAUCCCAGCCCUCUCAUUGGUUCAGCCCAUUUAAAGCCCCGCCCCUUAUUCAUAAGCCCCGCCCCCGUCCAUUCAUAAGCCCCGCCCCUAUUCAUAAUCCCAGCCCUCUCAUUGGCCCAGCCCAUUUCUAAAGCCCCGCCCACUAUUUCUAAGCCCCUCCCCCUUCUAUUGUCUGUCUCGUGCCGUGAUUGUGACGUAACGCGCGUUGAGGGGGCGGGGCGUGGGGAGCGGCAGCCAAUAAACGGAGAGAACCCGUCGUGACCCCGCCCCCCCUCGAUUCGUGACGUCAUUUAAGCGCGCGGCGCCGUCUGAUGACGUCAGUGUCAUGGCGGACUACCUGGGUUUGACGGACGCGGAGCUGCUGAGGAAGCUGCGGAGGGGGAGAGAGGGCCCCACGCGCAACCUGUACCACCUGAAGGUCGUGGAGUACGAGAGACAACGGCGCUGCCGGGGGGGGACAGGUGGGUGCCCCAUAACUGCCCCAUAACCACCCCAUAGCUGCCCCAUAGAUACCCCAUAGCUGCCCCAUAGCUGCCCCAUAGNNNNNNNNNNNNNNNNNNNNNNNNNAUACCGCCAUAGCUGCCCGCAUAGCUGCCUUAUAGAUACCUAUAGCUCGCCCAUAACCACCCAUCAGCCUGCCCAUAAGAAAUACCACCAUGCUGCAAACCCAUUAACUAGCCCCCAUAGAUCACCCAUAGCUGCCCCAUAACCACCCAUAGCUGCCCAUAGAUCCCCAUAGCUUGCCCCCAUAGGAUAACCCAUAGCUGCCCGCAUUAGA
This 1061-nucleotide long non-coding RNA is filed under the name Coturnix japonica (Japanese quail). RNAcentral describes it as "lncRNA (ENSCJPG00005001046.1)". Lineage: Eukaryota; Metazoa; Chordata; Aves; Galliformes; Phasianidae. The record is from RNAcentral.